RNAcentral lists this transfer RNA (73 nucleotides) under Nematostella vectensis (starlet sea anemone). It matches the Rfam family "tRNA". Rfam says of the family: Transfer RNA (tRNA) molecules are approximately 80 nucleotides in length. Their secondary structure includes four short double-helical elements and three loops (D, anti-codon, and T loops). The record is from Rfam by way of RNAcentral. Lineage: Eukaryota; Metazoa; Cnidaria; Anthozoa; Actiniaria; Edwardsiidae.
GCCUCUGUAGCUUAGUGGUAGGAACACUGGUCUAGUAAACCAGGGGUCAAGAGUUCAAUUCUGUCCAAAGCCU